CAGCUCAGGACGAACGCAGGCGGCGUGCGUAAUACAUGCAAGUAGAACGCUUCUUUCCUCCCGAGUGCUUGCACUCAAUUGGAAAGAGGAGUGGCGGACGGGUGAGUAACACGUGGGUAACCUACCCAUCAGAGGGGGAUAACACUUGGAAACAGGUGCUAAUACCGCAUAACCGUUUAUGCCGCAUGGCAUUAGAGUGAAAGGCGCUUUCGGGUGUCGCUGAUGGAUGGACCCGCGGUGCAUUAGCUAGUUGGUGAGGUAACGGCUCACCAAGGCCACGAUGCAUAGCCGACCUGAGAGGGUGAUCGGCCACACUGGGACUGAGACACGGCCCAGACUCCUACGGGAGGCAGCAGUAGGGAAUCUUCGGCAAUGGACGAAAGUCUGACCGAGCAACGCCGCGUGAGUGAAGAAGGUUUUCGGAUCGUAAAACUCUGUUGUUAGAGAAGAACAAGGACGUUAGUAACUGAACGUCCCCCGGACGGUAUCUAACCAGAAAGCCACGGCUAACUACGUGCCAGCAGCCGCGGUAAUACGUAGGUGGCAAGCGUUGUCCGGAUUUAUUGGGCGUAAAGCGAGCGCAGGCGGUUUCUUAAGUCUGAUGUGAAAGCCCCCGGCUCAACCGAGGAAGGGUCAUUGGAAACUGGGAGACUUGAGUGCAGAAGAGGAGAGUGGAAUUCCAUGUGUAGCGGUGAAAUGCGUAGAUAUAUGGAGGAACACCAGUGGCGAAGGCGGCUCUCUGGUCUGUAACUGACGCUGAGGCUCGAAAGCGUGGGGAGCAAACAGGAUUAGAUACCCUGGUAGUCCACGCCGUAAACGAUGAGUGCUAAGUGUUGGAGGGUUUCCGCCCUUCAGUGCUGCAGCAAACGCAUUAAGCACUCCGCCUGGGGAGUACGACCGCAAGGUUGAAACUCAAAGGAAUUGACGGGGGCCCGCACAAGCGGUGGAGCAUGUGGUUUAAUUCGAAGCAACGCGAAGAACCUUACCAGGUCUUGACAUCCUUUGACCACUCUAGAGAUAGAGCUUUCCCUUCGGGGACAAAGUGACAGGUGGUGCAUGGUUGUCGUCAGCUCGUGUCGUGAGAUGUUGGGUUAAGUCCCGCAACGAGCGCAACCCUUAUUGUUAGUUGCCAUCAUUUAGUUGGGCACUCUAGCGAGACUGCCGGUGACAAACCGGAGGAAGGUGGGGAUGACGUCAAAUCAUCAUGCCCCUUAUGACCUGGGCUACACACGUGCUACAAUGGGAAGUACAACGAGUCGCUAGACCGCGAGGUCAUGCAAAUCUCUUAAAGCCUCUCUCAGUUCGGAUUGCAGGCUGCAACUCGCCUGCAUGAAGCCGGAAUCGCUAGUAAUCGCGGAUCAGCACGCCGCGGUGAAUACGUUCCCGGGCCUUGUACACACCGCCCGUCACACCACGAGAG
Molecule: ribosomal RNA, 1420 nt
Filed under: Enterococcus faecalis
Lineage: Bacteria; Bacillati; Bacillota; Bacilli; Lactobacillales; Enterococcaceae
Description: bacterial SSU rRNA
Rfam family: Bacterial small subunit ribosomal RNA
Source: RNAcentral